Molecule: ribosomal RNA, 475 nt
Filed under: Euperipatoides leuckartii
Lineage: Eukaryota; Metazoa; Onychophora; Udeonychophora; Euonychophora; Peripatopsidae
Description: partial 16S ribosomal RNA
Rfam family: Bacterial large subunit ribosomal RNA
Source: RNAcentral
UGCUUUUUGUAAAUAUAAAAAGUAUUACCUGCCCACUGAUUUUUUUUAAAUGGCCGCAGUAUUUUGACUGUGCAAAGGUAGCAUAAUCAUUUGCUUUAUAAAUUAAAGCUUGUAUGAAUGGUAUAAUGUAAAUAUAACUGUCUUUUAUAUAUAAAUAAAAUUUAUCCUCUCAGUGAAGAGACUGAAUAUGUUUAGAAAGACGAGAAGACCCUAAUGAGUUUUAUAUUAUGUUUAUAAAAAUAAAUAAUAUAUUUUAUUGGGGCGAUUAAAGAAUAUAUCUUCUUUUCGAAGAAGAAAGUAAUUAUUUAUGAUUCAUUAUUAAUGAGAAAAGGUUUAAAUUACCAUAGGGUUAACAGCAUAAUCUUUUUUAAAAGUACAUAUCGACAAAAAGGAUUGUGACCUCGAUGUUGGGUUAAGAUAAUUAUAUAAUGCAGAAAUUAUAUUAAUAAGUCUGUUCGACUUUUAAAGUCUUACA